AUGCCUGGAUGCUUAGAAAUUGGAUAUCGUGGAACUGAAUUAAGUUGCUGGAUUGAUUCCCUUCAUGAGAACGAUCUUGGCGAGAUAAAUAAGGUGCUUAAAUCUGAGGUACUUUAAUAUGUUGGUGUAGAUAUAAACAUACAUAUUGUACUUUGGAUAUUGAACUGAAAUCUGAGGUACUUUAAUAUGUUGGUGAGAUAAAUAAGCUGUUCAAAUCUGCUCAUAUCUUUGUGCCAACUCCUCUUCUUUCUUGAUAAUUUUCCUGAUCCACUUCAGCAGUCAAUGUGAAUUAGGUGAGUUCCCUGUGAAGAGAAAUGAAUUUGCUUGCUUGAUUGAUUACAAAGGAUAACAAAUAUAUAGACUACAAAGCAUAGAGAUGUGCUAAACAAGCGUGGCAGACAACAUUGAUAUGCCAAAUACAAAUUGUGGUCUUGAGCUCCUAAAUGUCUUUUGCAUGUUUUGUCUGAUGGUGGAGAGUUACUCUUAUUAUCCCCCCGCAAGCUGAUGCGGUGAUGAGGAGCAAGCAGCUUGAAACUUGGAACUAAGAUUUGCAAAGCAAUGCUUGAGAAGUACUUCGGUAAAGAUAUCGGCAACAGUGGCUAGAUUGGAGAGAAAACAGAGAAGAAGUAGACAUAAACACAGUGGCUGAAAACACAGAGAAGAAGCAGCAGAAGAGGUGACACACUCCAAAGAUGAGGGAGAUUGAAGAAGUAGUGUGCAACAGGUGGAAUUUUGAGAGAAGAGUAAAUCCACUGUACCGCAGACGCACGAACCCAAAGGGCCCCUCAAAUCUGCGGAAGACGGGAUGGAGCUGGGAUUGAAGUGCAAGAAAGGAAAGGGAGACAGCUUGUUAUAGCAAGUUGGUUGAAGGAAAAUGUAACAAAGGAAAAGGCAAGAAGUGUGAAAAGAAGGAAGAUCGGAAUGGCUGCAGAGUAAUGUUGGAGAAGAAGAUGGUUGGCUGCAGAGUAAUGUUGGAGAAGAAGAUGGUUGCCUCAUGCCGAGAGGAGGAGAAGACUGAACUGAAAAUUGGGAGAAUAGAGAAAGAGAGUUUUGGGUUUGUUUA
This 1063-nucleotide long non-coding RNA is filed under the name Rosa chinensis. Its description in RNAcentral is "sRNA RchiOBHm_Chr2g0138121". Lineage: Eukaryota; Viridiplantae; Streptophyta; Magnoliopsida; Rosales; Rosaceae. The record is from RNAcentral.